RNAcentral lists this non-coding RNA (86 nucleotides) under Octactis speculum. Lineage: Eukaryota; Dictyochophyceae; Dictyochales; Dictyochaceae. The record is from RNAcentral.
GAUCGGUGCUGCUGCUUUGCUUUGGGUGUCGUCCACAGUGCGUUAUGAGUCAGUCACGUAAGCGCUUACCCGAGAGGAGGGAGGAU